RNAcentral lists this transfer RNA (85 nucleotides) under Botrychium lunaria (moonwort). RNAcentral's name for it is "tRNA-Ser". It matches the Rfam family "tRNA". Rfam says of the family: Transfer RNA (tRNA) molecules are approximately 80 nucleotides in length. The record is from RNAcentral. Lineage: Eukaryota; Viridiplantae; Streptophyta; Polypodiopsida; Ophioglossales; Ophioglossaceae.
GGAGUAAUGGCGGAGCGGUCGAUUGCGACGAUCCCGAGAAUCGUUUCAGCCCUGGCUAGCGAGGGUUCAAAUCCCUCCCUCUCCG